RNAcentral lists this transfer-messenger RNA (114 nucleotides) under Clostridium sulfidigenes. RNAcentral's name for it is "partial transfer-messenger RNA". It matches the Rfam family "transfer-messenger RNA", at positions 1 to 108 of the family's 374-position model. Rfam says of the family: Bacterial tmRNA, also known as 10Sa RNA or SsrA, is named for its dual tRNA and mRNA-like properties. Lineage: Bacteria; Bacillati; Bacillota; Clostridia; Eubacteriales; Clostridiaceae. The record is from RNAcentral.
GGGGGCGUACUGGUUUCGACGGGGGUACGUGACAUAUAGGAAGCGAGUAGAGGGAACUCAUGGGCCCGCUUUAAAAAACUAUGGGAUUAAAGAUAAACGCAGAAGACAAUUUUG